GAUGUCGACUAGCCGUUGGGAUCCUUGAGAUCUUAGUGGCGCAGCUAACGCAUUAAGUCGACCGCCUGGGGAGUACGGCCGCAAGGUUAAAACUCAAAAUGAAUUGACGGGGGCCCGCACAAGCGGUGGAGCAUGUGGUUUAAUUCGAAGCAACGCGAAGAGCCUUAUCAGGCCUUGACAUGCAGAGAACUCUUCCAGAGAUGGAUUGGUGCCUUCGGGAACUCUGACACAGGUGCUGCAUAUGCUGUCGUCAGCUCGUGUCUAGAGAUGUGGGGUUAAGUCCCGUAACGAGCGCAUCCCUUGUCCUUAGUUACCAGCACGUUAAGGUGGGCACUCUAAGGAGACUCCCGGUGACAAACCGGAGGAAGGUGGGGAUGACGUCAAGUCAUCUUUUCCCUCUCUGCCUGGGCUACACACGUGCUACAAUGGUCGGUACAAAGGGUUGCCAAGCCGCGAGGUGGAGCUAAUCCCAUAAAACCGAUCGUAGUCCGGAUCGCAGUCUGCAACUCGACUGCGUGAAGUCGGAAUCGCUAGUAAUCGUGAAUCAGAAUGUCACGGUGAAUACGUUGCCGGGCCUUGUACACACCGCCCGUCACACCAUGGGAGUGGGUUGCUCCAGAAGUAGCUAGUCUAACCUUCGGGGGGACG
Molecule: ribosomal RNA, 648 nt
Filed under: Stutzerimonas stutzeri
Lineage: Bacteria; Pseudomonadati; Pseudomonadota; Gammaproteobacteria; Pseudomonadales; Pseudomonadaceae
Description: bacterial SSU rRNA
Rfam family: Bacterial small subunit ribosomal RNA
Source: RNAcentral